Molecule: RNase P RNA, 334 nt
Filed under: uncultured Acetatifactor sp.
Lineage: Bacteria; Bacillati; Bacillota; Clostridia; Lachnospirales; Lachnospiraceae
Description: Bacterial RNase P class A
Rfam family: Bacterial RNase P class A
About the family: Ribonuclease P (RNase P) is a ubiquitous endoribonuclease, found in archaea, bacteria and eukarya as well as chloroplasts and mitochondria. Its best characterised activity is the generation of mature 5'-ends of tRNAs by cleaving the 5'-leader elements of precursor-tRNAs. Cellular RNase Ps are ribonucleoproteins.
Source: RNAcentral
AAUAAUCGCGGCCACAGCAAUGUGGGUGAGGAAAGUCCGGGCUUCAUAGGGCAGGAUGCCAGAUAACGUCUGGUGGAGGCGACUCCAAGGCUAGUGCAACAGAAAGAUACCGCCGGUUUGCUGUAUGCAGACAGGUAAGGGUGGAAAGGCAGCUUAAGAGACUACCGUUCGUCUGGUAACAGGCGGAGCCAUGUAAACCCCAUCCGAAGCAAGACCAAAAAGAAAGCAACAGGCUUGCCCGGCCUGCUUUCAGGUGGGUUGCUUGAUGCGGCUGGCGACAGCCGUACUAGAUAGAUGAUUAUUCAACGACAUAACCCGGCUUAUCGUUUUGCUU